GAACUGCGGCUGCGCCAGGCGGGGGCCCCGGGCGCAGAGAUGGCCCGACACGCGAUGGCCGCAGGGAGCGCCCCGGGGUGGGCCGCGGGGGUCCUCGCCGUGGUCUGCCUGGUCUUCUGUUUCGACGUCAUCAGCUGUGAUUCCCAAUUGUAUGGAGCUGUGAACAAGAAUGUGACUUUCUUUACAGCAAGUUCUACGCCCGUUAAAGACAUCCUGUGGAAAAAAAGAAAGGAUAAAAUUGUAGAAAAGGAAGAAAACUUUGAGGAAAAAGUUUUCCAACCUUUUACAGAUAGAAUUCAUUUAAACAGUAUAUCAGGUGACCUCACCAUCUUCAAUUUAACAUCAUCAGAUGAAGAUGAGUAUGAAUUUGAAUCCUUAAGCGUUAAAGAUAGUAUCAAAUUCGUUCUUAUGGUGCUUGAGCCUCUUCCGUCUCCGACACUAAAUUGUACAUUGGCUAAUGAAACUGUUAGGGUCCAAUGCAGGAUUCCGGAACCUUACAGCAGCCAUAUAGACCUUAUAAGGUACUCAUGGAAUUGCUCCUCAGCACAGUGUAAAAAUGGCUCGGAAUCAUCAGAAGUGUGUGUUAACAAGAAAGAUGCUCUCUCACGGACAAUAGAGUGUGUCGUUAGCAAUCCAUUAUUCAGAAAUGCAUCAUCAAUCGUUUUGGACACUUGUGUCCCACACGGGAAUACCAGGCGGAGGUUUGGGCUUUUAGCAGUCACACUAGCAGUGAUAGUUGGAGGAGUUAUUUUUGUAGCUGUAAAAGCUGUUCAGAGAUGUCGCCAACCAAGAGACAGAAGCACGCAAAGUACGCUGUAGACUGUGCAGUGGCUUCAGUUGAUUGGUAAUAGAAGAUGAAGUCGAAUGUGUAGUAACUAAGUUAUUUAAAUACUUUGAAAAGCUGUCUGAUUUACCAUUCGACUUUUACAUCAUCUUUGAGGAAACUUUGGAAGUCUAACUUGAAGCAGUUCAUCAGAGCCGUUUUUUUUUUUUUUACAAGAAAUAUCAAGCAAUAAAAACAAGCAUUAGUUUCUGCUCUGUUACCAACACUUUCUGUGACUGGGUGCUCACUCUCCUAGCUGUCAAACGUUUCUUGUAAACUGUGGAUUGGAGAGAUACAAACUUUUGUAAAUAAAUGUAAAUUAAUGUACAUAAGUGACUAGGUGGUUUGGCUCAUUUUUCCUGUUAAAUUAGAAAAAUAAAAUAGUCACAUACCUCAGCAGGUGAAGGCUUUUUACUAAAAUCUGUACUCGACUUCUGUUUUGUUUUAGAGGAGAAAUAAUUCAUUGCAGGAUUGGUAGUAGAGUGAGGGAGAAGAUGGACAAAGUCCUUUUGCUUCUUAGGUCUAUGGCUGUUGACAAGAAGCAAGAACAUACAGGUCUUCUGUUUCUUUUGAAAAGACCAGAUCACCACCAUCCAAAUGCUGGUGUAUAACCUGGGUGGGCAGGGAGACUUGUCUCAUCAAGAUCUCUUAAUCCACUUAGUCUGUCGUGUCAGCUGUCCCCUUAGCAGGUGAACAGCCGAGAACUCGUAACAAACUGUCAAGUCACGUACAAAUGCAGAACAGCAGCGUCUCCUGAAUAAGGAAGUAGAGAGCCUGCUGUCCCUCGGGCAGCCAUCAUGUAAACCCCAGAUCCCAGAGUCAGCAUGCAGAGGGCUUAGCUCCUGAGCCGUGCUACCCCUGGAAUUUCUGUCCCAUGAGAGUCUUCAGUCUGAAAGAAGAAAUAAUGCUUUUUCACUCCAAGGUGGGUGUGUGAACAGGGCCCCGUGAGACAGCUCUGUCCAGGCUAUCCAGAGCCGUCAGCGAGAGUGAGGCAGGGGCCUGGGAGCCCUGAGUACUCCUGGGAAGACCCCUACUUCUCCCUAGUCCCCGCACCUCCAGGUGGCGUAGCUUCCUAUCGAAGUGUGCCUCUGACUAAUCUUGCCGAACCCUUUAUUCCAGGCCCUAUAGGGAGCCUGGGACUCCCAGAACAUCUUCAUCUUCCAGACUGUCGUCUCCAUAUGCUCUGUCUGGCCUUUUCUGGCCCCAUCCAGGAACAACAAGAUUCCUGGUGUCCUCUCCUAUGAAUGUUCCCUUCUCCUUUCUGUUCGCAUUAAACCUGGCUCUCCCCGAUGAUGCUGCUUCCCAAGGCCUUCUCAAGGGACAGCUGCUUCCUCUCCUGUGCCCCCUGCUGGGCCUGGGGGGAGGGAAGGCAUCCUCCUUGCUCCUGUCUGCCUCCAGACCCUUGCUUCUUCCUCGCCUUUGAUGCUCUGGCCAGCAGAUUGCCACCUCCUGACACCCCUUUGUAAGUUAUCUUGGUUAUUCCUCAUCCCAUGAAGAUUUUAGCACAAGGUUGAAAUCACUCUCUUAAUACUGCUCCUUUUAGAAUGUGAGUGUUUUCAAAACCUGCAAAUCCAGUACCCUGCCAUGGUCUCCCCCAAGGAUCUGUCAUCUCCCUUUCUCAGCAGAUGCCACCCUGGUCCUUCUCCUACCAAUACCCACAGCCCCCAUAGUCUCAGUUACAGGCAUCCCCUCUCCCCUCCCUAUCUUCCACAUCACUCCCUGGAGGGCCCCAACUCCAAAAAUCCUGCAGCCCUGCCAGGACCUGCACGCCAGUGAUCCCACCAUCUUUUCCCUGGCCCUCAACCCUUUGCAUUCUCUUUCUCCUUCCUGCCUGCUCAUCAGUAUAAUUAUUCCUUCACCUGCACUCUUUUACCCUCUCACUUGUCAUUCUCAUUUGGCCAAAUCGCAACCAUGGUUAGAAUCAUCUCUACCCCUUCCCUCCCUGCACCCAAACUGCUGAACCUCCCUGGGGAAAAAGGCACCACCAGUGCCUUUCGCUUCAAUGACCACAAACUUCAAAUGGAUUCAGUGUUUUUCAGAUGUCUUCAUCGUAUUGCCCGGGUCCACUCACUGUCUCCUCAUCUUUCUUCUUAGAUCUGCAGCCCUGUGCCCUCACUCUCAACUGGUCCCCUUGCCUCCCAUGUCACUGAAAAAAAUACAAGCAUUCAGAAGAGACCCCCUCUGCCUCCCACCGCACAUCUGCACACCCACACCUGUGUUGGCACUUGUGGACUUUGCCUCCUCUCCUGUUACAGAAUGUGAUGACCCCGAGGCAGAAAGUCUAUGCUGAUAGCCAUCAUCACUGACAACUGAAAGAUCAGGGUAUGGGACAUUGCUCCAUCUAUGAUACAUAUCCAGUAAAACAAAAGACUAUCAGGAACUAAGACCAGAUGUCUGCCCCACCCCCCGGAGACCAGCUGCCUCUUCCAUCCAGAGACCAGCCCUGUACAUAACUGGCCUGUCAUCUUUGUUCUGUAAGAUGGUUUUUUUCCAGAUGGGAGUCAGCCAUCUUCCCUCUUGCUAGCAAGCUGUAAUAAAAAGUCCUUUCUCUCCUACA
This is an RNA transcript of Diceros bicornis minor, 3380 nucleotides long. It is a transcript of the gene named CD58 molecule, with no coding region annotated. The transcript is spliced from 7 exons. Lineage: Eukaryota; Metazoa; Chordata; Mammalia; Perissodactyla; Rhinocerotidae. The record is from RefSeq and is a predicted model, not a curated record.